RNAcentral lists this ribosomal RNA (254 nucleotides) under uncultured bacterium. RNAcentral describes it as "partial 16S ribosomal RNA". It matches the Rfam family "Bacterial small subunit ribosomal RNA", at positions 524 to 776 of the family's 1533-position model. The record is from RNAcentral.
UACAGAGGGUGCAAGCGUUAAUCGGAUUUACUGGGCGUAAAGCGUGCGUAGGCGGUUCGUUAAGUCGGUUGUGAAAUCCCUGGGCUUAACCUGGGAACUGCAGUCGAUACUGAUGAACUAGAGUGCGGUAGAGGGUGGCGGAACUCCGGGUGUAGCGGUGAAAUGCGUAGAUAUCCGGAAGAACACCGAUGGCGAAGGCAACCACCUGGGCCUGCACUGACGCUGAGGUACGAAAAGCGUGGGGAGCAAACAGG